AAAUUGAAGAGUUUGAUCAUGGCUCAGAUUGAACGCUGGCGGCAGGCCUAACACAUGCAAGUCGAACGGUAACAGGAAGCAGCUUGCUGCUUCGCUGACGAGUGGCGGACGGGUGAGUAAUGUCUGGGAAACUGCCUGAUGGAGGGGGAUAACUACUGGAAACGGUAGCUAAUACCGCAUAACGUCGCAAGACCAAAGAGGGGGACCCUCGGGCCUCUUGCCAUCGGAUGUGCCCAGAUGGGAUUAGCUUGUUGGUGGGGUAACGGCUCACCAAGGCGACGAUCCCUAGCUGGUCUGAGAGGAUGACCAGCCACACUGGAACUGAGACACGGUCCAGACUCCUACGGGAGGCAGCAGUGGGGAAUAUUGCACAAUGGGCGCAAG
Molecule: ribosomal RNA, 384 nt
Filed under: Escherichia coli
Lineage: Bacteria; Pseudomonadati; Pseudomonadota; Gammaproteobacteria; Enterobacterales; Enterobacteriaceae
Description: bacterial SSU rRNA
Rfam family: Bacterial small subunit ribosomal RNA
Source: RNAcentral